This 181-nucleotide unclassified non-coding RNA is filed under the name uncultured fungus. RNAcentral describes it as "sequence contains ITS1". The record is from RNAcentral. Lineage: Eukaryota; Fungi.
UUUACUUGUUUUCUGGGACUCUGAGAUGCCACGCUGCAGAGACAAGAGUAGGGGGCCGCCGGCGGGCGUAGCGCCCGGCGCAGGGCCGGGCGCCCGCCGAGGCAACGUUUCGGUAGGUUCACAGGGGUUGUGGGAUCUUGCGAUUCCAGUAAUGAUCCCUCCGCUGGUUCACCAACGGAGA